RNAcentral lists this ribosomal RNA (484 nucleotides) under uncultured bacterium. Its description in RNAcentral is "partial 16S ribosomal RNA". It matches the Rfam family "Bacterial small subunit ribosomal RNA", at positions 29 to 523 of the family's 1533-position model. The record is from RNAcentral.
AGUGAACGCUGGCGGCGUGCUUAACACAUGCAAGUCGAACGAGAACGGAUUAUAGCUUGCUAUAAUUGUCAGCUAAGUGGCGCACGGGUGAGUAAUGUAUAGGUAAUAUGCCUCUUACUAAGGGAUAACAAAUGGAAACGUUUGCUAAUACCUUAUACUCCUUAUUAACAGAAGUUAAUAAGGGAAAGAUUUAUUGGUAAGAGAUUAGCCUGUAUUGUAUCAGUUAGUUGGUGGGGUAAUGGCUUACCAAGACUAUGACACAUAACUGGUUUGAAGGUAGGAAGAUGAACAGGGGAACAGAGACACGGCCCAAAUUCCUGCGGGAGCCAAUAGGGGGAAAUAUUGCACAAGGGACAAAUGUCUGUUCCAGCACCGCCGCUUAGGUAAAUACAAAUUUUGGUGCGAAACCUCUUUUUAUUUGAAAAGAUAAUGCCGUUUUUAUAGAAAAAAGCCCCGACAACCCCCGUGCCACCCCCCGCGGUAA